Long non-coding RNA from Mustela lutreola (European mink), 541 nucleotides. RefSeq lists it as uncharacterized. Lineage: Eukaryota; Metazoa; Chordata; Mammalia; Carnivora; Mustelidae. The transcript is spliced from 3 exons. The record is from RefSeq and is a predicted model, not a curated record.
UAUCAAGGGAUGGUGGGACAGCUCAGUGGCUAAUACCCACUAAGGUAGUGUUCCUGGGGCCAAGCGUUCCACCAUUCCUUCCCCAUCCCCCUCUUUUUUGACUGUGUAAAAGGAAGUGGAGUCCUGGAAGAGAUCGUUCUGUGGUGGCGCUGUUAGUGUUCCUGGGCUUGCUGGUCCAGCCCUUCCAAGGAUAUUGUAAGAAAUUAGUGGCUUUUUUGAUCAUCUAACAAAAAGCUCUGGGCUGAGUCACGUCUCAGAAGUUCCAGACAGCCAUGGACUACAACAAGCAGAUGUCCAACAGGAAGAGAACAUCUGUGAUGCUCGUUUCCAAUGUUUCCAGUGCCGCAGGAUCCUGUCACCUGGCCGAGCGGUGGGGAACAAAGGCUGCCUGGAUUUGGCACCUCCAGCCCUUCUGUGGCUUUCCCUUCUCAAUAAACCUUUGACAAAGGUCGGGUGUUUGAAAGGCUGGCUUUUUCCUUGUUGGGUCUAAGCGUUUCUUGCUCAGCAGAGCGAUUCAUUGUCUCUGAGCGUCAAUAAAUAA